UACGAAGGGGGCUAGCGUUGCUCGGAAUGACUGGGCGUAAAGGGCGCGUAGGCGGCUUGUAUAGUCGGAUGUGAAAUUCCCUGGGCUUAACCUGGGGGCUGCAUCGAGACGUAUGGGCUUGAGUGCGGAAGAGGGUCGUGGGAAUUCCCAGUGUAGAGGUGAAAUUCGUAGAUAUCGCAAGAACACCAGUGGCGAAGGCGGCUCACUGGCCCGAUACUGACGCUGAUGCAACGAAAGCGUGGGGAGCAAACAGG
This 254-nucleotide ribosomal RNA is filed under the name uncultured bacterium. Its description in RNAcentral is "partial 16S ribosomal RNA". It matches the Rfam family "Bacterial small subunit ribosomal RNA", at positions 524 to 776 of the family's 1533-position model. The record is from RNAcentral.